This 253-nucleotide ribosomal RNA is filed under the name uncultured bacterium. RNAcentral describes it as "partial 16S ribosomal RNA". It matches the Rfam family "Bacterial small subunit ribosomal RNA", at positions 524 to 776 of the family's 1533-position model. The record is from RNAcentral.
UACGUAGGUGGCAAGCGUUGUCCGGAUUUAUUGGGUUUAAAGGGUGCGUAGGCGGUCCUAUAAGUCAGUUGUGAAAUACGGCAGCUUAACUGUCGAGGUGCAAUUGAUACUGCAGGACUUGAGUACAGACGAGGUAGGCGGAAUUGACGGUGUAGCGGUGAAAUGCUUAGAUAUCGUCAAGAACACCGAUAGCGAAGGCAGCUUACUAGACUGUAACUGACGCUGAUGCACGAAAGUGUGGGGAUCAAACAGG